GAUCAGAGGGACAAACUGAUGGGAGGAGAUGAGGAGAGAAGUCCUACAUGUGAGCCGUGUUCCUGAGGACCAUCACCAGAGAGACUCCACAGCAGAACACCAGGCUCUUCACUAUCAGCACGACGUACAGCCGGCACAGCAGCUUCACCUGGUACGGAGACGGGCCCGGAGCUGACGGAGGAGCUGACGGAGGAGCUGACGGAGGAGCUGACGGAGGAGCUGAUGGAGGAGCUGAUGGAGGAACUCUGUCCUCUGAAACAGAAAAGCAGGGACUGGUUGUGAGUGAGGAGCAUCAGGAGGAGCCUCCUCUGCUCCUCUGCUGUCUUUACAGCAGCGUCUCCACGUGAAGAUGAAGAUGAUGACCUCUGGUCACCUUGUUCGCUCGGGGCCUCCACCUUUCCCCCCUCGUGGUGGACGUAGCAGCGGUAUCGAUAGCGGCUGGUCUCCUGCUGAUGGAGCAGCAAGAUGGAGGCGGUGCGUCCGGACUCUGUGAACUCCAGCUGCUCUGCAUCAUCAGGGAGCUUCUCCUGCAGAGAACCGUGCUCCUCACGUCUCCUCCAGGAGAACCGGACCAGAGGAGGAAACAUGGAGGAGGCCACACACAGCAGGGAGCUCCUCCCCUGCAGGUGGGCGCUGGAUGCUGCUGGGUACACGCUCACCACGGGCUUCACCACCGGCUCACCUGAAGACAUAAAUAACACGACGUCAUGUGAUGUAACCUACAAGAAUAUGAUGUAAAGUAACGUGAAUAAUGUAAUAUAAUACAAUGUAAUACAAUGUAAUAUAAUACAACGUAAUAUAAUGUAAUAUAAUACAAUGUAAUAUAAUGUAAUAUAAUACAACGUAAUAUGAUGUAAUAUAAUACAACGUAAUAUAAUGUAAUAUAAUACAAUGUAAUAUGAUGUAAUGUAAUAUGAUGUAAUGUAAUAUGAUGUAAUAUAAUACAACGUGAUAUGAUGUAAUUUGUCAACAUUACAUAACGUAAUGAAAUAUAAUAUAAGUUUAUAUUACAUUAUAUUAUGUAACAUAAUAGAACACAAAAUAAUGAAUAAAUUGAUAAUCAACACAGCACAGAGUUCACUGCACACAGAAUGUGUUCACCUGAAUUCUAUUAUUACAAAUACUACAUUACAACAAAAUAUGACUAAAUGAUAAUUUCUCAAUAUUUCUGUAAAAUGAUUUCAUACAAAAUAUAACAGAUCAUUUAAAAAUAAAAUGUGUCAUGAAAACGUAAACCUUUAUUAAUAUGACAUGUAUCAAAUUUGACUAAUAUCUUUCCCAAUUAAAUAAUAAGUAUAAUAAUAAUAAUAAUGAAUAUUGUGACGCUUAAAACCAAAAAUAAAUAUAAGACACAACCCUAAAAAUAUUUUCUUAGAGGGAAACACACGUAUGAUCUGAUGAUUUACGGUCACGCUAACAGAAAGCCAACAAACAUUCUAAUGAACUGCAUAUUUUAGUCUUUUCCUAAAAUACAAUCUUCAUUUCAGUUACUGUCGUUAUAACAAUACUAUUUAUUUAGCCAGCUUACAAUUUACUCUUGUUACUACUACUACUAAUAAUAAUACCUCGAUUAAAAGACUGACAAAUUGUAGCACUUAAAUUGUACUUAUGUCACUUAUCUAUAGCAAAUUGUAAAUUGGCUUAUUUAAUGAUGUUGUACUUUCUUGUUUCUUGUUCCUCUGAGUUUGUGUCCUUAUGGUUAAAAGUACUUAUUGUAAGUCGCGUUGGAUAAAAGCGUCAGAUAAAUGACGUGUGAUGUGAUGUAAUACUAAUAAUAAUACUAAUAAUUUGUCUUUAAAACAAUAUACCGUCACUUAAAAUAUUAACGGCAAGUAUUUACUAAUUCUAUCAUAGUAGAUUAUAUUAUUAUUAGAGUAUAUAUAUAUUUAAAGUAAAACAUUUUCAGUUUGAAAACAAGGAUCAUUUUUAUUUAAUAUACUUUCUGAUUUAAGAUGAAGCUCAAUAACUGAAAGGAUCAGAUUCUGUAUCAUUUAAAUACAUUUAAAUCACUUUAAUCUUCUGCAGGAAUAAAGAAUAACUCAGUCAUUUUUAUCAUUAGUGAUGCACAGCAGCUGCACGGGAUCAAUAUUUAUCUACUAAUGAUGAAAACAUUAAUAUGUGAAGCAUCGUGAACUCAUUAAAAUCACAUUUUCAACUUGUUCAGUGAAACAACUGAAGGAAUUAAACGUUUAUUCUUACCUGUUACGUACAGUUUGGUCCCAGAGCCAAAGAUUAAGUAAUAAGGGGAAACACACAGUGAAAGAGAGCGAGACAAAAACCUGCUGAGGACGAGUCGAUGAGCCGGAGUCACAUUUCAUCUCCAGGACGAGUUUCUCAUUUCUUCAUAUUAACGGUUUCUUCUUUUCUUUCUUCUUAAACUCACUAAAGCACAACGUCUCCGAGGACACGUUCAUGGUCCUCAGAGGACGAACCCAGCGCACUUUGGUGAGUUUGUAGCUGUUUAGGACAAAAACAAAUAACGGAUCAACAAGGACACAUUUCUGAACUUAAGCCAAAGGUCCCACAGAGAAAACCUUCAUUAACCCGAUGUUGUCAGUCAGGCCGGAGCCGGGGAGGAGGACAAUGACGGCGAGCCUUACAUCAGGGUGGUACCCCGAUGUAAGGCUCGCCGAGG
This is a long non-coding RNA of Gasterosteus aculeatus aculeatus (three-spined stickleback), 2635 nucleotides long. The record is from Ensembl. Lineage: Eukaryota; Metazoa; Chordata; Actinopteri; Perciformes; Gasterosteidae.